UACAGAGGGGGCAAGCGUUGUUCGGAAUUACUGGGCGUAAAGGGCGCGUAGGCGGCCUUCUAAGUCGAACGUGAAAUCCCUGGGCUCAACCCAGGAACUGCGUCCGAUACUGGAAGGCUUGAAUCCGGGAGAGGGAUGCGGAAUUCCAGGUGUAGCGGUGAAAUGCGUAGAUAUCGAGAGGAACACCUGCGGCGAAGGCGGGUUGCUGGGCUGACACUGACGCUGAUGCGCGAAAGCUAGGGGAGCGAACGGG
This 253-nucleotide ribosomal RNA is filed under the name uncultured bacterium. RNAcentral describes it as "partial 16S ribosomal RNA". It matches the Rfam family "Bacterial small subunit ribosomal RNA", at positions 524 to 776 of the family's 1533-position model. The record is from RNAcentral.